RNAcentral lists this long non-coding RNA (2709 nucleotides) under Physcomitrium patens. RNAcentral's name for it is "long non-coding RNA (PPAT_LNC004701)". The record is from RNAcentral. Lineage: Eukaryota; Viridiplantae; Streptophyta; Bryopsida; Funariales; Funariaceae.
CUAAUCAAAUUCUAAUCAAAUCCUAGUCAAAUCCUAACCAAAUCCUAAAUAAAUCCUAGUUAAAUCCUAAUAAAUCUUAGUCAAACCUUAAUAAAUUCUAAUAAAAUCUUAAUCGAAUCCUAAAUAAAUCUUAACCAAAUCCUAAACAAACUCUAAAUAAAUUCUAACCAAAUUCUAAACGAAUUCUAAUUAAACUCUAAACAAACCCUAAACAAAUCCUAACCAAAUCCUAACCAAAUCCUAACCAAAUCCUUAUCAAACUCUAAUCAAAUCCUAAAAAAAUCCUAAGAAAAUCUUUAAUAAAUCCUAGUCAAAUCCUAAAUAAAUCCUAAUCAAACCCUAAUCAAAUCCUAAAAAAAUCCUAAUAAUUCCUAUAGUAGAUUUAAAUCUCAAUAACUAAUGAAUGAACCAUUGAUUUUAACUAAAAAUUUUCUCACUCUUUAACAAUUAAGUUAACAAUAAGUAAAUUGUUUUUGAAGAAGAUCAAAUUCACCAAAAAAAAGAUCAAUCGGAAUAUUUGCUCAGAUGUUGGCCAACCUCCUUUUCUAAUCUAAAUGUUAAAUUUUUAGUAUCAAUAUCUCCCUACUAAAGUAUUUAAUUGAUCUCAAAUUUCUCAAUAUGUAGAAAAGCAAGUCUAUUAUCUACAUGUAAAAUUUUCACUCCAAUCCAAUUGAUAGAUUCCAAGAAAUCUUAGAAAUCCUGAUUGGAUCUAAAACUCUAUUUUUCAAGACCCUGACCCACUUAAACCUUAAUAACCCUCGAUUCAACUCUUUGAUUAAGCUCAAACUUACUAAAUAUAUUGAAUACAUGUAAAUCCACAAACCUUUGAAAUUUCACUUAUGGAUCUAUUGCCAAACUUACAAAAUUCUCCAAAACUUAUCUCUUAUUUUAUUUCAUAAAUCCAGAGUUAUCCAAAAGAAACCCUAACUUUAUAAAGCUUUUACAAAGUCAAUACAAAUUUAAAUCACCUCAAAUUAAUGUUCAUUCAAACCUUAUGAAGUCUCCUUUCUAAUCUUAUUCUUUGAUCUGCUAAAGAACCCUUGAAUUAUCAUUGAAGUUCGAUUAUGUGCCUUGAGAUCUGAUUUCGAGCUUGGUUCAAAACCAACCCUCUUUGGGUAUCAAUAUCUAAUUUUUCUAAAUAAGUUUUGCUAGAAACUACUCUUAACUUCUUUCCAAAGGUGCUUAUAUUUUUUAUUUUUCUAAUCUAUCUUAUUUUGCUCUACUUGUGGUCCUACAAAGUAAAUAGAAGUCUAUUUUGGAAAAAAGUAAUAUUAGUACUUUUAAUUUUUCUAUCCUUUGACUAUUAUCUAUUUUUUUAGGAUAAUUUGUUAUAAUAUAUUUGAAAUAAGAUCUUCAGAAAUAUGAUAUUUUUUUCAUCUUUUCACCUAUUAGUUGUUUUACAUCGUGACACCGCCUUGAAUUUAAGACUUUGUCCACCUCAAAUUUUUAAUUAUCAUCUAUUUUUAUAAGACAAAGUGGCAUUUGUCUAUUUUUUAAGGUAUUCACUGUCUUUUAUGGCUCAAAAAGAGAUACAUAUAAUACAAGAUGGAUCUUCAUAGACUUUGAUAGAUAUAAUUGAUAAAUAAUAUGAUUGCUUUAUUUGCAAAUAGAAAAAGGUCCGAGCCUAUGAUAGUCCAACUUCUUAGAAAAAUGAGUAAUCUUAAUAUUACGAAAAAAUAAUAAUAUCUUAUCUCCUAUGUAGAAUUAUAUUUUUUCCUUAUAAUAGGCAUCUAAAUUAAUUUUUUGUCAUUCUUUAGCUUCUUUUAACUAUGCAUUUACAGUUGUAAGUAGCUUUGAUAAAUAAUUUAUCAAAUCUUCUUCCAUAAGAUAAUUAACUUUUGAAAAGUAAAAAACAUCAAAUUAUGGAUGAUAACCAAAAUCGAUAAAGAAUAAUAUUUAUUGAUUAGAAAAAUAUACCUAAUUAUUGUAUGCAAACUCUAUUAAUGGCAAAAAAGUUUUUUAAUUAUCUUAAUUAUAGUUUAUAGUAAACUUCAUAUAUUACUCUUGAAUUUAAUUUAUUCAUUAUGUUUGCUUAUCAGUUUGAGGAUGAAAAGCCAAAGAGAGCUUUAUAUCCACCUUUAAAAUCUUGAAAAAGAUUUUUUAAAAUCUUAUUAAAAAUUGAGUCUCCUUAUCCGAUAUAAUAUGCUUAGAUAAUCCAUGAUAGCAAUAGAUGUUGUCAAGAAAAAGCCUAGGGGGUUUUUUUUUUUUUUUUUUUUUUUUUUUACCUAUGACUGAUUUUCUACAUGGUACAAAAUAUUCUAUUUUAGUAAAAUGAUCUUCUAUCAUAAAUAUAAAAUGAUAUAAAUCUAAAUCUAAAAGAUUCAUGAUAAAAUCCAAAGAAAUAGAAGACCAUAUUUAUUUUAAAAUAGGUAAUGGCUAAAGAAGUUCAUAAGAUCAAUAAUAAGAAUUUUUUAAUCUUAAAAAAAUAUCACAUAAUAAUACAAAGUCUUUAACUGCCUUCUAUAUUUGAAGCCACCAAAAAUCUCUUAAUAUUAGCUCCAAAGUCUUAUUGUAUCCAAAAUAUUUGGCUACUAAAAAGUCUUGAUGAGCUUAAAGAACACAUAAUUAUACUUUAUUUUUUGUAAUAUAUAAUCAUUCUUCAAAAUAAAAUAGAUUAUUAUUGAACUUGAACUUGAAGAUAUUAUGAGACUUAAAAGAAUUAUUCUUGAUAUCAUGAAUAAGAAGAUCAAAGGACAUACUUAAUUAAAU